UGUACUGACCAUCAUAACAUGUUGUCUUUCAACUAUACUCUGCUGUUCUUUAUAUCUUGUCUUGAAGCACUGAGAGUUCACCAACAUCCCAAGCAUGUUAUAAGCCGAACAGGGGGAUCACUCAAUUUAACAUGUGUUGUUACUGGCCAUGACAAUCCUGACAUCUUAUGGUACAAACAGAACGCAAGGGAAGAACUGCAGUUUAUGUUUCUCUCUACAGCUGUAAAUCUGGUGAAACCUCUGAGAGUUGAGCACUUCACUGCCACCAGACCUAACGAGUCACAUUUUUUCCUUGAGUCUGCAGACUUACGUAUGAAAGAUUCUGCUGCUUACUUGUGUGCAGGAAGUACCACAGAGGUUCACAAAUGCUACUGCACUGUACACGAAAUAGAACAUUAUGGUUACUGACUAUAUUCAUGUGAUAUUAUGAGUCGUUGGUGGUUUUAGGUGUGAAAUGGCAGUCAUGUAUACCACAGA
This is a non-coding RNA of Protopterus annectens (West African lungfish), 477 nucleotides long. Lineage: Eukaryota; Metazoa; Chordata; Ceratodontiformes; Protopteridae. The record is from the annotation of a RefSeq genome assembly.